Molecule: non-coding RNA, 589 nt
Organism: Mus pahari (shrew mouse)
Lineage: Eukaryota; Metazoa; Chordata; Mammalia; Rodentia; Muridae
Source: the annotation of a RefSeq genome assembly
AGUAAUUAUCCCGGGACCUAAAUUCAAAUAGAAAAUGAAUUUUCCGGUGCAGAUUUUCAGCUUCCUGCUAAUCAGUGUCUCAGUUGUAAUGUCCAGAGGAGAAAUUGUGCUCACCCAGUCUCCAGCACUCAUGGCUGCAUCUCCAGGGGAGAAGGUCACCAUGACCUGCAGUGCCAGCUCAAGUGUAAGUACCAGUUACUUGCACUGGUACCAGCAGAAGUCAGGUGCCUCCCCCAAACUCUGGAUUUAUAGCACAUCCAACCUGGCUUCUGGAGUCCCAGCUCGCUUCAGUGGCAGUGGGUCUGGGACCUCUUACUCUCUCACAAUCAGCAGUGUGGAGGCUGAAGAUGUUGCCACUUAUUACUGCUAUCAGCAUAGUAGUUCCCCACCCACACAGUGGUACAGACUGGAACAAAAACACUGUAACUCUAACUCCUUAGGGUUCAGCUACUUCCUCCUAGAGAAAAAAUGUGGUCAGUGGUUUGAUUGCAGUAGUCCACACAGGUUGUUCUGCUUUACAAUGUCCUUUGUAUCUUUGGAUGACUGUCUCUAUGACAUUCCACUGUACUUCAGCACUUUUCUCAAAUAA